AUGAGACAUGAGUUCUUUGUGAAAGAUCCUAAGGUUGGAGGUAAUCGCGGAGGAAACUUGUAAAGUUACUCGGAAACGACCCCAACGCUCACCAAGGUAGGUGGAAGAUGUAAGGAUGUUUUGAUUUUGGAGCUUAGAGGCUUUUAUUUUGAAGUCCUUAUUUCCAUUCUUUUUGUAACCUAACUGAUUGCAUUCUGAAUUGACUAUUU
Molecule: non-coding RNA, 209 nt
Organism: Lupinus albus (white lupine)
Lineage: Eukaryota; Viridiplantae; Streptophyta; Magnoliopsida; Fabales; Fabaceae
Source: the annotation of a GenBank genome assembly